GAACGAUGAAGCCCUUCGGGGUGGAUUAGUGGCGAACGGGUGAGUAACACGUGGGCAAUCUGCCCUGCACUCUGGGACAAGCCCUGGAAACGGGGUCUAAUACCGGAUACUGAUCGCCUUGGGCAUCCUUGGUGAUCGAAAGCUCCGGCGGUGCAGGAUGAGCCCGCGGCCUAUCAGCUUGUUGGUGAGGUAAUGGCUCACCAAGGCGACGACGGGUAGCCGGCCUGAGAGGGCGACCGGCCACACUGGGACUGAGACACGGCCCAGACUCCUACGGGAGGCAGCAGUGGGGAAUAUUGCACAAUGGGCGAAAGCCUGAUGCAGCGACGCCGCGUGAGGGAUGACGGCCUUCGGGUUGUAAACCUCUUUCAGCAGGGAAGAAGCGAAAGUGACGGUACCUGCAGAAGAAGCGCCGGCUAACUACGUGCCAGCAGCCGCGGUAAUACGUAGGGCGCGAGCGUUGUCCGGAAUUAUUGGGCGUAAAGAGCUCGUAGGCGGCUUGUCGCGUCGGUUGUGAAAGCCCGGGGCUUAACCCCGGGUCUGCAGUCGAUACGGGCAGGCUAGAGUUCGGUAGGGGAGAUCGGAAUUCCUGGUGUAGCGGUGAAAUGCGCAGAUAUCAGGAGGAACACCGGUGGCGAAGGCGGAUCUCUGGGCCGAUACUGACGCUGAGGAGCGAAAGC
This 680-nucleotide ribosomal RNA is filed under the name Streptomyces sp. SCAUEA8. Its description in RNAcentral is "bacterial SSU rRNA". It matches the Rfam family "Bacterial small subunit ribosomal RNA", at positions 64 to 760 of the family's 1533-position model. Lineage: Bacteria; Bacillati; Actinomycetota; Actinomycetes; Kitasatosporales; Streptomycetaceae. The record is from RNAcentral.